This 584-nucleotide long non-coding RNA is filed under the name Heterocephalus glaber (naked mole-rat). RNAcentral describes it as "lncRNA (ENSHGLG00000039760.1)". Lineage: Eukaryota; Metazoa; Chordata; Mammalia; Rodentia; Bathyergidae. The record is from RNAcentral.
AGAGCGCGUUGGGCUCUGGAAAGUCUCCAUAAUAAAAUCCAAAGCUUAGAAAAACGCAAGAAACAGAUCAAUUAUUAUUAUUUUAAUUUCAAAGUUGGACAAAGGAUACAUUGAAUAGGGGGGUUACCUCACAAACCUGUAUUUCCCCGCCUCUGGUUUCUUAGCAGGAUGGGAGAGUUGAGAGGACCUGCAGGGACUUCUUGAGCCCUGCCUAGGAUGCGGGCCUGAUUCCAGCCCUCGGGCUCCAGGAGCUGUUUCUCGUCUUCCAUGCCUUUCUGCCAUGCUGCCCUGCCUUGGAGCCAGACGACUAUGAACUUAAGCCUCUACAAACUCUUCCUGUCUCACAGUGGAAUCUCCUGUUCCUGCACACUAUUGCUAUUGUGAUGCCAUCCAUCCUGUGGGCCUUGCCAGGGCAAGCUGAAGACAGUGCCAUGACCUUGAAACUCCAGUCUCCUCCUACCCUCCUCUUCCAUUGACAGAAACUCUCUGGAAGCCAGCUGGGAAAGGAGUUUAUUUAUUGGUUUCAAACUCUGCAUCAUCAGGAAGGAGUAAGGAAAAGUAUUUAUGGAACUGAAGGCUAAGGG